AUACGGAGGGGGCUAGCGUUGUUCGGAAUUACUGGGCGUAAAGCGCGCGUCGGCGGUUUAUCUAGUCAGGCGUGAAAGCCCCGGGCUUAACCUGGGAACUGCGUUUGAUACUGAUAGACUAGAGGCCGGGAGAGGGUAGUGGAAUUCCCAGUGUAGAGGUGAAAUUCGUAGAUAUUUGGAAGAACACCAGUGGCGAAGGCGGCUACCUGGACCGGACCUGACGCUGAGGUGCGAAAGCGUGGGGAGCAAACAGGAUUAGAAACCCCGGUAGUCC
This 274-nucleotide ribosomal RNA is filed under the name uncultured bacterium. RNAcentral describes it as "partial 16S ribosomal RNA". It matches the Rfam family "Bacterial small subunit ribosomal RNA", at positions 523 to 796 of the family's 1533-position model. The record is from RNAcentral.